CAGUAGCCGCGGGAAUACGGAGGGGGCUAGCGUUGUUCGGAAUUACUGGGCGUAAAGCGUACGUAGGCGGUUUUGUAAGUUAGAAGUGAAAGCCCGGAGCUCAACUCCGGAAUUGCCUUUAAGACUGCAUCACUUGAACGUCGGAGAGGUGAGUGGAAUUCCGAGUGUAGAGGUGAAAUUCGUAGAUAUUCGGAAGAACACCAGUGGCGAAGGCGGCUCACUGGGCGACUGUUGACGCUGAGGUACGAAAGCGUGGGGAGCAAACAGGAUUAGAUACCCCAGUAGUCCCUGUCUCUUAUAC
This 301-nucleotide ribosomal RNA is filed under the name uncultured bacterium. RNAcentral's name for it is "partial 16S ribosomal RNA". It matches the Rfam family "Bacterial small subunit ribosomal RNA", at positions 509 to 807 of the family's 1533-position model. The record is from RNAcentral.